GGCUUUCAGCCUUUGAUCCAAGAUGUCGUUCUACACAGCCGAUGUUUCUGAAGGUCCACUCGUCCAAUCUUGCAUGUGGGAUCAUGGGAAGACAGAUGAAUGUUUUUCUUCCCUCGAGCACAAUGAUGACUCAACUCCGGGCUGGGCCAAACUUCGACAAUCUUUUGGGCUGGGUGGCUGAAUACUGGUGGACCUAAAGAACGCCAUUUAUGAUAAAGUAUACAAUUAUAAAAAGUAUUACAGUAUAAUCAAAUAAAUAAACUAAUCGAUAAUGUAUAAUUUAACUAAACAAAUUUAAUAUAAAUUUAAACCAAAUGUUCAGAUAAUAAAACUUAAACGUAAAAUCUCAAGAAUUUAAGAUUUUUACCUUACCAUUAAGCCAAUUCCUCAUUGGCUUUUGCUGGGGCUUGAAAGUGGCUUAUUUACAAAUUUCAAAACCAUGAAAUUGAGCUUCAAUCCUACCAUACUAUUCUUUGGGAUACAAGGUAAUCUUGGUUAGCUCAGCUUUGUAGAUAGUAACAUACUCCUAUUGUUUUUGGGCUUCGAAUUG
RNAcentral lists this long non-coding RNA (550 nucleotides) under Durio zibethinus. RNAcentral describes it as "long non-coding RNA (DZIB_LNC000944)". Lineage: Eukaryota; Viridiplantae; Streptophyta; Magnoliopsida; Malvales; Malvaceae. The record is from RNAcentral.